GCACUGGCAAAAUCCAGUGUCGGGUUUAGGACCCCGCUUUUGUAUAGGGCACAUUAGAGUCAGCUUCUGCUGGCCUUUU
RNAcentral lists this small RNA (79 nucleotides) under Vibrio chagasii. RNAcentral describes it as "isrK". It matches the Rfam family "isrK Hfq binding RNA". The record is from RNAcentral. Lineage: Bacteria; Pseudomonadati; Pseudomonadota; Gammaproteobacteria; Vibrionales; Vibrionaceae. RNAcentral also lists the same sequence under 1 other name.